AUUUUGAGUAAUGGGGUUUUGCCUUUAUGGGCUGGUGUUAUUAUAACCGCUUGUGAUUGUUUUAUCUUCCUAUUUCUUGAGAAUUAUGGCGUGAGGAAAUUGGAAGCAGUUUUUGCAGUUCUGAUUGCGAUAAUGGCACUCUCAUUUGCUUGGAUGUUUGCUGACACAAAACCCGAUGGCAAGGAGCUUCUUUUGGGUAUCCUAGUUCCAAAACUUAGCUCUAAAACAAUACAACAGGCUGUUGGAGUUGUGGGUUGCAUCAUCAUGCCUCACAAUAUAUUUUUGCAUUCUGCUCUUGUCCAGUCAAGGGAUGUUGACACCACUAAGAAAGGCCGGGUUAAAGAAGCUCUCAG
Molecule: unclassified non-coding RNA, 353 nt
Filed under: Hevea brasiliensis (rubber tree)
Lineage: Eukaryota; Viridiplantae; Streptophyta; Magnoliopsida; Malpighiales; Euphorbiaceae
Source: RNAcentral